AAAACGUUAAGAACCAGCUACAAUACAGACUUUACAGCACUUCAUGGUUCACACCAUGGGGUGUUUUUUU
RNAcentral lists this non-coding RNA (70 nucleotides) under Streptococcus intermedius B196. RNAcentral's name for it is "Streptococcus sRNA SpF11". It matches the Rfam family "Streptococcus sRNA SpF11", at positions 25 to 95 of the family's 95-position model. Lineage: Bacteria; Bacillati; Bacillota; Bacilli; Lactobacillales; Streptococcaceae. The record is from Rfam by way of RNAcentral.